AGGGCCAUCCAGAUCUGAACCAAUCUCCCUUUCUCAAACAUAUAAUCUUUGGGGAAGACUGAACAAAAUGCAAAACAUUGCUUCAGUAUGGCAGGCAAAUGACUGUAACUCAAUCUGAGAGCUGGCAGUAUAUUGUUCUUAUCUGAUGGUAGCUCCCAUAUUUCACUCUUUAAUAUGUUUUUCCAAUCACCCUCUGUGUCCUUGGUACAUAAUAAACUGCCUAUUGCUUUUGCAGCUAGUGGCAGGCCUUUCAACUUCUUCACAAUGCCCUUGCCUAUUAUUUCCAAUUCUGGGUGUGCACUGGCGUCACCGUCAACAAAUGCAUGGUUCUUGAACAACUGCCAGCAAUCAUUGUCUGAUAACUGCUUU
RNAcentral lists this long non-coding RNA (369 nucleotides) under Setaria italica (foxtail millet). Its description in RNAcentral is "long non-coding RNA (SITA_LNC002053)". Lineage: Eukaryota; Viridiplantae; Streptophyta; Magnoliopsida; Poales; Poaceae. The record is from RNAcentral.